GUCUAUAGCCAUGCCACCCUGAACAAGCCCGAUGUCUGAUCUUGGAAGCUAAGAAGGGUUGAGCCUGGUUGGUACUUGGAUAGGAGACCACCUAGGAAGUCUAGGUGCUGUAGGCA
Molecule: ribosomal RNA, 116 nt
Filed under: Pteropus alecto (black flying fox)
Lineage: Eukaryota; Metazoa; Chordata; Mammalia; Chiroptera; Pteropodidae
Source: RNAcentral